GCCCAGAGCGGUGGCAUGUGCCUAUAGUCCCAGCUACUCGGGAGGCUGAGGUGGGAGGAUCGCUUCAGCCCAGGAGUUCUGGGCUGUAGUGCGCUCUGCCGAUCGGGUGUCUGAACUAAGUUUGGCAUCAAUAGGUGACCUCCCGGGAGGGGGGGACCACCAGGUUGCCUAAGGAGGGGUGAACUGGCCCAGGUCGGAAACGGAGCAGGUCAAAACUCCCGUGCUGAUCAGUAGUGGGAUCGCGCCUGUGAAUAGCCACAGCACUCCAGCCUGGGCAACAUAGCGAGACUCCCUUA
This 296-nucleotide signal recognition particle RNA is filed under the name Cebus imitator (Panamanian white-faced capuchin). RNAcentral's name for it is "Metazoan signal recognition particle RNA (ENSCCAG00000009180.1)". It matches the Rfam family "Metazoan signal recognition particle RNA". Rfam says of the family: The signal recognition particle (SRP) is a universally conserved ribonucleoprotein. It is involved in the co-translational targeting of proteins to membranes. The record is from RNAcentral. Lineage: Eukaryota; Metazoa; Chordata; Mammalia; Primates; Cebidae.